This 271-nucleotide ribosomal RNA is filed under the name uncultured bacterium. Its description in RNAcentral is "partial 16S ribosomal RNA". It matches the Rfam family "Bacterial small subunit ribosomal RNA", at positions 88 to 354 of the family's 1533-position model. The record is from RNAcentral.
CCGGCGACCGGCGCACGGGUGAGUAACACGUAUGCAACCUGGCCGUGACAGAUGGAUAACCGGGAGAAAUCCCGCCUAAUACAACAUAAUGCCGGGAGGGGACAUACCCCUGCCGGUCAAAGGGGGCGACCCCGGUCAUGGAUGGGCAUGCGGCGCAUUAGGUAGUUGGUGGGGCAACGGCCCACCAAGCCGACGAUGCGUAGGGGUUCUGAGAGGAAGGUCCCCCACAUUGGAACUGAGACACGGUCCAAACUCCUACGGAAGGCAGCAG